GGGGUUUAAUAAAUGUUUUUCUUUUGCACAGAGAGACUUGGCAUAUGCCGACCU
This 54-nucleotide transfer RNA is filed under the name Physconelloides eurysema. Its description in RNAcentral is "tRNA-Ala". The record is from RNAcentral. Lineage: Eukaryota; Metazoa; Arthropoda; Insecta; Psocodea; Philopteridae.